RNAcentral lists this ribosomal RNA (292 nucleotides) under uncultured bacterium. RNAcentral's name for it is "partial 16S ribosomal RNA". It matches the Rfam family "Bacterial small subunit ribosomal RNA", at positions 505 to 796 of the family's 1533-position model. The record is from RNAcentral.
GUGCCAGCCGCCGCGGUAAUACGUAGGGUGCAAGCGUUGUCCGGAAUUAUUGGGCGUAAAGAGCUCGUAGGCGGUGUGUCGCGUCUGCUGUGAAAAUCCAAGGCUCAACCUUGGACCUGCAGUGGGUACGGGCACACUAGAGUGCGGUAGGGGAGAUUGGAAUUCCUGGUGUAGCGGUGGAAUGCGCAGAUAUCAGGAGGAACACCGAUGGCGAAGGCAGAUCUCUGGGCCGUAACUGACGCUGAGGAGCGAAAGCGUGGGGAGCGAACAGGAUUAGAUACCCGGGUAGUCC